Molecule: non-coding RNA, 122 nt
Filed under: Leptothrix cholodnii
Lineage: Bacteria; Pseudomonadati; Pseudomonadota; Betaproteobacteria; Burkholderiales; Sphaerotilaceae
Also listed under: 1 other name
Description: Glycine sequence
Rfam family: Glycine riboswitch aptamer
About the family: This family represents the bacterial glycine riboswitch.
Source: RNAcentral
CGUCACCUCACUGGAGAGAGGCUGCCGCUGCGGUAUCGCGGCAGUCCACCGAAGGGGCAAGCGGAAGGGCGACACAGCCGCCUACCGUCAAUCUCUCAGGUAAAGCGGACAGCGAGGGCAAC